GAGGAAAAGAAACCAACAGGGAUUGCCUUAGUAGCGGCGAGUGAAGCGGCAAAAGCUCAAAUUUGAAAUCUGGCUCUUUCAGAGUCCGAGUUGUAAUUUGAAGAAGGUAUCUUUGGGUCUGGCUCUUGUCUAUGUUUCUUGGAACAGAACGUCACAGAGGGUGAGAAUCCCGUGCGAUGAGAUGAUCCAGGCCUAUGUAAAGUUCCUUCGAAGAGUCGAGUUGUUUGGGAAUGCAGCUCUAAGUGGGUGGUAAAUUCCAUCUAAAGCUAAAUAUUGGCGAGAGACCGAUAGCGAACAAGUACAGUGAUGGAAAGAUGAAAAGAACUUUGAAAAGAGAGUGAAAAAGUACGUGAAAUUGUUGAAAGGGAAGGGCUUGAGAUCAGACUUGGUAUUUUGUAUGUUACUUCUUCGGGGGUGGCCUCUACAGUUUAUCGGGCCAGCAUCAGUUUGGGCGGUAGGAGAAUUGCGUUGGAAUGUGGCACGGCUUCGGUUGUGUGUUAUAGCCUUCGUCGAUACUGCCAGCCUAGACUGAGGACU
Molecule: ribosomal RNA, 537 nt
Filed under: Candida tropicalis
Lineage: Eukaryota; Fungi; Ascomycota; Pichiomycetes; Serinales; Debaryomycetaceae
Description: partial large subunit ribosomal RNA
Rfam family: Eukaryotic large subunit ribosomal RNA
Source: RNAcentral